CCUACGGGUGGCAGCAGUGAGGAAUAUUGGGCAAUGGACGCAAGUCUGAACCAGCCAUGCCGCGUGCAGGAAGACGGCUCUAUGAGUUGUAAACUUCUUUUAUAAAGGAAUAAAACGAGGCACGUGUGCCGUUUUGCAUGUACUUUAUGAAUAAGGAUCGGCUAACUCAGUGCCAGCAGCCGCGGUAAUACGGAGGAUCCGAGCGUUAUCCGGAUUUAUUGGGUUUAAAGGGAGCGUAGAUGGGUUGUUAAGUCAGUUGUGAAAGUUUGCGGCUCAACCGUAAAAUUGCAAUUGAUACUGGCAGUCUUGAGUACAGUUGAGGUAGGCGGAAUUCGUGGUGUAGCGGUGAAAUGCUUAGAUAUCACGAAGAACCCCGAUUGCGAAGGCAGCUUACUAAACUGUGACUGACAUUGAUGCUCGAAAGUGUGGGUAUCAAACAGGAUUAGAUACCCCUGUAGUC
This 460-nucleotide ribosomal RNA is filed under the name uncultured bacterium. Its description in RNAcentral is "partial 16S ribosomal RNA". It matches the Rfam family "Bacterial small subunit ribosomal RNA", at positions 338 to 795 of the family's 1533-position model. The record is from RNAcentral.